RNAcentral lists this ribosomal RNA (68 nucleotides) under Malonomonas rubra DSM 5091. RNAcentral describes it as "16S rRNA. Bacterial SSU". Lineage: Bacteria; Pseudomonadati; Thermodesulfobacteriota; Desulfuromonadia; Desulfuromonadales; Geopsychrobacteraceae. The record is from RNAcentral.
CUGGCUCAGAACGAACGCUGGCGGCGUGCCUAACACAUGCAAGUCGAACGAGAAAGGGAUCUUCGGAU